GGCGACGUAGCUCAGCUGGUGAGAGCGCUCGACUCAUAAUCGAGAGGUCGACAGUUCGAAUCUGUCCGUCGCUACAA
Molecule: transfer RNA, 77 nt
Filed under: Acidimicrobiaceae bacterium
Lineage: Bacteria; Bacillati; Actinomycetota; Acidimicrobiia; Acidimicrobiales; Acidimicrobiaceae
Also listed under: 1 other name
Description: tRNA-Met
Rfam family: tRNA
About the family: Transfer RNA (tRNA) molecules are approximately 80 nucleotides in length. Their secondary structure includes four short double-helical elements and three loops (D, anti-codon, and T loops). Further hydrogen bonds mediate the characteristic L-shaped molecular structure. tRNAs have two regions of fundamental functional importance: the anti-codon, which is responsible for specific mRNA codon recognition, and the 3' end, to which the tRNAs corresponding amino acid is attached (by aminoacyl-tRNA synthetases). tRNAs cope with the degeneracy of the genetic code in two manners: having more than one tRNA (with a specific anti-codon) for a particular amino acid; and 'wobble' base-pairing, i.e. permitting non-standard base-pairing at the 3rd anti-codon position.
Source: RNAcentral